RNAcentral lists this long non-coding RNA (215 nucleotides) under Mytilus galloprovincialis (Mediterranean mussel). The record is from RNAcentral. Lineage: Eukaryota; Metazoa; Mollusca; Bivalvia; Mytilida; Mytilidae.
CGUGUUUUUAACCUGUUUCUUUUUUAGUCCACGAUGAUGUAAUUCUCUCGUUUUUGUUAUUUUUACCUGUGUCCCGAUUCAAAAAGACGUAUACCUGAUGAUUUCUACGUGCAACUGAAUCAGAGGGGACGAUCAGCGAAGAUUUAUUUUAUUUCCGAGUCACCUUUAGGAGGGUUGACAAAAAAAGAGAAUCAGUACAGAAUAGUGGGACAUUG